This 245-nucleotide long non-coding RNA is filed under the name Olea europaea subsp. europaea. Lineage: Eukaryota; Viridiplantae; Streptophyta; Magnoliopsida; Lamiales; Oleaceae. The record is from RNAcentral.
CUCUAUUGUUAUCACAAUACUAUUGUAUGUGAUCAACAAUAUUAGGAACUACUCCAAGUUCAUUUAUGAACAUCAUGAUCCAUAUUGCAACUCUUUGCUACUUCUAAAGUAUCCAUGUAUUAGGUUUCUACUAUUGAAUCAACGGUUGCUCCACGUUUGGAACCUUUCCAACAUACCGCUUAAGAGUAAACCAGUUUCUCCAUAUGAAAUCUUCUCAAGAUUUCAUCUAUGUAAAUUGGGAUGAG